UCCGCCUCGAGUGCCCAGGGGAGAAACAGCUGACUAGCCGGAACGCUUCACCCGGGGCCCGGGAGGCCCAGCCGAGGCCGCGGAGGGGGACUACGGGCUAGGCUGCGAAGGAGUGGCAAGGUCACGGGACUUGUAGUCGCGCGCAGGUUCCAGCCGGACUACAGCACCCACAAUGCACCAGCGAGCGCGCCGCCGAGGGACCGGGGCGUGCGCUUCCUGUCUUUCUGCGGCCGCUGGGGUCCCAAGCUGCGGGAAGUAUUCCGGGAAGUCUUCGAGGCUUGGUUUUCUCCAGUCUUGGUUUCGGCAGAGAACACUCAACUUUGGAAUGAACACUUCUUGGAUUAGUCAGAACCGGGCCAGAGUGGGGAGCAGAGCAGGCAGAAGGACCGAAGUACACUGCUGAGGGGAGCAGCAGGCGGCAGGAGAGGUCUGCGCGCCAUGUGGGACCCUCCUCUGGUGGCCGGGGAUCGAACCUGCGACGCAGAGGCCGCAGGGAGCUUCACAACCCAGCGCUCAACCGCUGCGCCGCCAGGGAGGCCCAGGGUCAUUGAAUCUUAAUAUGUGAAAUGUCUGGAUUAAAAUUGGAUCUUUAUGGUUCCGUGAGGAUCUAAAAUAAUUUUUCUCAUUACAUCUGGAUAUUGUUCUAAAUGAAGUCCCCCCCCCCAUAAUAAUGAGUACCAAGUAUAUCUGCAGUAUUAAACCUGGAAUAUCCUUGUAGUUUU
Long non-coding RNA from Talpa occidentalis (Iberian mole), 722 nucleotides. RefSeq lists it as uncharacterized. Lineage: Eukaryota; Metazoa; Chordata; Mammalia; Eulipotyphla; Talpidae. The transcript has 3 exons. The record is from RefSeq and is a predicted model, not a curated record.